This 253-nucleotide ribosomal RNA is filed under the name uncultured bacterium. RNAcentral describes it as "partial 16S ribosomal RNA". It matches the Rfam family "Bacterial small subunit ribosomal RNA", at positions 524 to 776 of the family's 1533-position model. The record is from RNAcentral.
UACGGAGGGAGCUAGCGUUGUUCGGAAUUACUGGGCGUAAAGCGCGUGUAGGCGGCUCGGAAAGUCGGGUGUGAAAGCCCUGGGCUCAACCCAGGAAGUGCAUUCGAAACUUCCGAGCUGGAGUCCUGGAGAGGAAGGCGGAAUUCUCGGUGUAGAGGUGAAAUUCGUAGAUAUUCGCAAGAACACCAGUGGCGAAGGCGGCUCACUGGCCCGGUACUGACGCUGAGGUGCGAAAGCGUGGGGAGCAAACAGG